RNAcentral lists this ribosomal RNA (1503 nucleotides) under Triticum aestivum (bread wheat). RNAcentral describes it as "partial small subunit ribosomal RNA". The record is from RNAcentral. Lineage: Eukaryota; Viridiplantae; Streptophyta; Magnoliopsida; Poales; Poaceae.
AUGGAGCUAAACGGAGCCACCCUCUCGCUCCUUUCUCUCAUCUCACUGGUGAUUCUAGUUUCCAUGCUUAGCCGCAAGUUAGCACCACGUUCAAAGAAGCAGCAGCCUCCUGGCCCAUGCUGUCUGCCCUUGAUCGGAAACGUCCAUCACAUCCUCACGUCGAAACUGCCGGUCGUCCUCCGGGACCUGGCCAAGAAGCACGGGCCCGUGAUGUACCUAAGGCUGGGCCAGGUUGACGCCGUCGUGGUCUCCUCACGGUCGGCGGCAGAGGAGGUACUCCGGGAAAAGGACAUCUGCAUGGCGUCCCGGCCGAUCCUUAUGGUCUCCGAGAUCUUACUCUACGGGAACCUCGACAUAACCUUCUCGCCGUAUGGCGCAUACUGGCGGACGCUGCGCAAGAUCUGCACAGUGGAGCUCCUCAGCGAGAGGAAGGUGAGGCAGUUUUCGCCGGUGAGGGACAACGAGACCAUGUCCCUCGUUAAGAACGUUCGCGUGGCCGGCCGAGGUGGCAACCUGUUCAACCUUGGCAGGCUACUUGUGUCGUGCUCCAACUCGAUAACUGGGAAGACGGCGUUCGGGGAGAUGUGCAGCUCUGAGCUCCAGGAGGAGUUCCUGUCGGCCAUGGAUGUGGGGCUGAAACUUGGCGCCGGGCUCUGCGUCGGGGACCUCUUCCCAUCUCUGUGGUUCGUCGAUGUGGUCACCGGCCUGAGGAGCCGGCUAUGGCGAACCCGCCGGCAGCUGGACCAUGUCCUGGACAAGAUCAUCUCUCAAUCUGAAAUGCGGCGAGGUGAUGACCUUGUGAGCGUUUUGCUUAGGAUCAGGGACGAAGGGGGACUGGACUUCCCGUUGGAACAAGAUAGCAUCAAGGCAAUCAUAAUGGAUAUAUUCACCGCCGGGACGGAGACGACAUCAUCAGCUGCAGAGUGGGUCAUGUCGGAGCUCAUGAGGAACCCGGAGGUGAUGAUCAAAGCGCAGGCUGAGGUGCGACGAACAUUCAACGCCAAGAGCCCACAAGACCAUGAUGGACAAGUGGCGGAGCUACACUACACAAAGAUGGUAAUUAAGGAGAGCAUGCGGCUAAACCCUGUGGUGCCCCUGCUGGUUCCCCAUGUCUGCCGAGAGGCCUGCGUCGUCGGCGGGUUUGAUGUCACCGAAGGUACCAGGGUUAUGGUAAAUACCUGGGCAUUGGGCAGGAACCCCGAGUACUGGCAUGAGCCUGAGAAAUUCAGGCCAGAGAGGUUCGAGGAUGGCACGACGACCUACAAAGGCUCGCGGUUCGACUACUUACCGUUCGGUAGUGGGAGGAGGAACUGCCCCGGAGAUACCUUUGGGUUGGCAGUGUUGGAGCUCGUGGUGGCACGACUUCUCUACUACUUUGACUGGAGUCUCCCUGCCGGAGUGAACCCGACUGAGAUGGACAUGGAAAUGAUUGUUUCCGCAACCUUAAGAAGAAAGAACCAGCUGCACCUAGUGAUGACACCGUAUAAGGCAUGCACUUGUUGA